AGAUUGAACCGCUGGCGGCAGGCCUAACACAUGCAAGUCGAGCGGAAACGAGUUAUCUGAACCUUCGGGGAACGAUAACGGCGUCGAGCGGCGGACGGGUGAGUAAUGCCUAGGAAAUUGCCCUGAUGUGGGGGAUAACCAUUGGAAACGAUGGCUAAUACCGCAUAAUGCCUACGGGCCAAAGAGGGGGACCUUCGGGCCUCUCGCGUCAGGAUAUGCCUAGGUGGGAUUAGCUAGUUGGUGAGGUAAGGGCUCACCAAGGCGACGAUCCCUAGCUGGUCUGAGAGGAUGAUCAGCCACACUGGAACUGAGACACGGUCCAGACUCCUACGGGAGGCAGCAGUGGGGAAUAUUGCACAAUGGGCGCAAGCCUGAUGCAGCCAUGCCGCGUGUGUGAAGAAGGCCUUCGGGUUGUAAAGCACUUUCAGUCGUGAGGAAGGUAGUGUAGUUAAUAGCUGCAUUAUUUGACGUUAGCGACAGAAGAAGCACCGGCUAAC
This 497-nucleotide ribosomal RNA is filed under the name Vibrio campbellii. RNAcentral describes it as "bacterial SSU rRNA". It matches the Rfam family "Bacterial small subunit ribosomal RNA", at positions 34 to 501 of the family's 1533-position model. Lineage: Bacteria; Pseudomonadati; Pseudomonadota; Gammaproteobacteria; Vibrionales; Vibrionaceae. The record is from RNAcentral.